UUUCUGUCGAAGGAUUCGUCUGGGGUCCAGUGGGUCAGCGUGGCUGACAGCUUAGAGAUUGAUAGUUGAGAUCUUUCCCAGGCGGAACAGUGUUGGACAGCAUGACCAGUGAUCCAAGACACCAGCGGAACAGGGCGGAGGUGAUGCGGCUGCAGAUGCAUUAUAUCCCACAGUGAAGGGAUUGCUGAACUGUGCUCAGUACUUGAAGGCUUGGACGUAAAGCACUGGGAAGCCAUCAGAGUCUCAAGAUUGGUGAAUUUUCAUGGUUCAAGCUGACAUUCUGGUGAAGGACGAGAUAUGUUUGGGGAGAGUUAUCAGGGCCUACGCAGACGCAGAACAAAUUUAGUCUCCCUUGACUGUUUCAUUCAUCACCAGAUGAUGGAUAUUUAU
Poecilia reticulata (guppy) is the source of this 390-nucleotide long non-coding RNA. RefSeq lists it as uncharacterized. The record is from RefSeq and is a predicted model, not a curated record. Lineage: Eukaryota; Metazoa; Chordata; Actinopteri; Cyprinodontiformes; Poeciliidae.